Molecule: ribosomal RNA, 253 nt
Filed under: uncultured bacterium
Lineage: Bacteria
Description: partial 16S ribosomal RNA
Rfam family: Bacterial small subunit ribosomal RNA
Source: RNAcentral
UACGUAGGGUGCAAGCGUUGUCCGGAAUUAUUGGGCGUAAAGAGCUCGUAGGCGGUUCGUUGCGUCUGCGGUGAAAUCUCGGGGCUCAACUCCGAGACUGCCGUGGAUACGGGCGAACUGGAGUCCAGCAGGGGAGAUCGGAAUUCCUGGUGUAGCGGUGAAAUGCGCAGAUAUCAGGAGGAACACCGGUGGCGAAGGCGGAUCUCUGGGCUGGUACUGACGCUGAGGAGCGAAAGCGUGGGGAGCAAACAGG